RNAcentral lists this small nucleolar RNA (138 nucleotides) under Ornithorhynchus anatinus (platypus). The record is from RNAcentral. Lineage: Eukaryota; Metazoa; Chordata; Mammalia; Monotremata; Ornithorhynchidae.
CACCUCUCAGGGUCGCAACUGGAGAGUUUCCAGUACUCUACCAGUCUUGACUAUGGGAGGGAGAGUCAAGCAGAGGCAUACCCAUUCCAUUCCUAGCUUGUGUAGCGGCUAGCGAGUGGAAGGCAAUCUGCUACAAGU